UACGAAGGGGACUAGCGUUGUUCGGAUUUACUGGGCGUAAAGGGCUCGUAGGCGGCCAACUAAGUCGGAUGUGAAAUCCCCAAGCUUAACUUGGGAACUGCAUCCGAUACUGGAUGGCUUGAAUCCGGGAGAGGGAUGCAGAAUUCCAGGUGUAGCGGUGAAAUGCGUAGAUAUCUGGAGGAACACCGGUGGCGAAGGCGGCAUCCUGGACCAACACUGACACUGAGGAGCGAAAGCCAGGGGAGCAAACGGG
This 253-nucleotide ribosomal RNA is filed under the name uncultured bacterium. RNAcentral's name for it is "partial 16S ribosomal RNA". It matches the Rfam family "Bacterial small subunit ribosomal RNA", at positions 524 to 776 of the family's 1533-position model. The record is from RNAcentral.